RNAcentral lists this ribosomal RNA (552 nucleotides) under Staphylococcus aureus. RNAcentral describes it as "bacterial SSU rRNA". It matches the Rfam family "Bacterial small subunit ribosomal RNA", at positions 983 to 1533 of the family's 1533-position model. The record is from RNAcentral. Lineage: Bacteria; Bacillati; Bacillota; Bacilli; Caryophanales; Staphylococcaceae.
GACAUCCUUUGACAACUCUAGAGAUAGAGCCUUCCCCUUCGGGGGACAAAGUGACAGGUGGUGCAUGGUUGUCGUCAGCUCGUGUCGUGAGAUGUUGGGUUAAGUCCCGCAACGAGCGCAACCCUUAAGCUUAGUUGCCAUCAUUAAGUUGGGCACUCUAAGUUGACUGCCGGUGACAAACCGGAGGAAGGUGGGGAUGACGUCAAAUCAUCAUGCCCCUUAUGAUUUGGGCUACACACGUGCUACAAUGGACAAUACAAAGGGCAGCGAAACCGCGAGGUCAAGCAAAUCCCAUAAAGUUGUUCUCAGUUCGGAUUGUAGUCUGCAACUCGACUACAUGAAGCUGGAAUCGCUAGUAAUCGUAGAUCAGCAUGCUACGGUGAAUACGUUCCCGGGUCUUGUACACACCGCCCGUCACACCACGAGAGUUUGUAACACCCGAAGCCGGUGGAGUAACCUUUUAGGAGCUAGCCGUCGAAGGUGGGACAAAUGAUUGGGGUGAAGUCGUAACAAGGUAGCCGUAUCGGAAGGUGCGGCUGGAUCACCUCCUUU